UUCUCUGUGGCACAAUUAGUUAGUGCGUUCGGUUGUUAACCAAAAGGUUGGUGGUUUGAGUCCCUCCCAGGGACA
Molecule: non-coding RNA, 75 nt
Organism: Podarcis lilfordi (Lilford's wall lizard)
Lineage: Eukaryota; Metazoa; Chordata; Lepidosauria; Squamata; Lacertidae
Source: the annotation of a GenBank genome assembly